AACGCACCUUGCACCCUUUGGUAUUCCAAAGGGUAUACUCGUUUGAGUGUCAUUGUACUCUCACACUUCUCUAUUUGAGAGAAGUCGUGGACUUGGAUGUUGCCGCUUCAAUGUCAGGCUCAUCUCAAAUCGCUUAGUGCAUCUCUGGAUUUGGGCAUAGUAAUAGAUAGUAUUUACUACUACUACUACUACACAGCGUGAUAAGUAUCUUCGCCAGUGUGCCUCCUAAGUGGAGGGUGUCUAAUGGAAGGGGCUCUGUGCUUCAAACCGUCUUUUGACAAUCUCUGACAAGUUGACCUCAAAUCGAGUAGGAUUACCCGCUGAACUUAA
RNAcentral lists this unclassified non-coding RNA (330 nucleotides) under uncultured Sebacinales. RNAcentral describes it as "sequence contains 5.8S rRNA gene, ITS2, 28S rRNA gene". The record is from RNAcentral. Lineage: Eukaryota; Fungi; Basidiomycota; Agaricomycetes; Sebacinales.